This 254-nucleotide ribosomal RNA is filed under the name uncultured bacterium. RNAcentral's name for it is "partial 16S ribosomal RNA". It matches the Rfam family "Bacterial small subunit ribosomal RNA", at positions 524 to 776 of the family's 1533-position model. The record is from RNAcentral.
UACGUAGGGUGCGAGCGUUGUCCGGAAUUAUUGGGCGUAAAGGGCGCGUAGGCGGCCAGCGCAAGUCAGUUGUGAAAUCUCCGGGCUUAACUCGGAAAGGUCAACUGAUACUGCGCGGCUAGAGUGCAGAAGGGGCAACUGGAAUUCUCGGUGUAGCGGUGAAAUGCGUAGAUAUCGAGAGGAACACCUGCGGCGAAGGCGGGUUGCUGGGCUGACACUGACGCUGAUGCGCGAAAGCCAGGGGAGCGAACGGG